Long non-coding RNA from Pieris rapae (cabbage white), 253 nucleotides. RefSeq lists it as uncharacterized. The transcript is spliced from 3 exons. Lineage: Eukaryota; Metazoa; Arthropoda; Insecta; Lepidoptera; Pieridae. The record is from RefSeq and is a predicted model, not a curated record.
UUUCGCCUUGGUUUUGGUGCCUUUAGACCGACCAGGCUGGUUCGACUAGUCGAGGAUCAACUGACCCUCAUCUGGAAGAAGAAGAGCACCUUUUUGUUAAUAAUUACGAAUAUAUAUAUAUGACGCAGACAAGCAGGAGGCUCACCAGAUGUUAAGUGACACUGCCGCAUAUAACGUAUACGAUGUUAUCUAUGUAGUAAUCGGUUCAACGCAAAAUUAUGUGCAUAUUAUAAACCAAAUUUGACCAAAAGAU